Molecule: ribosomal RNA, 253 nt
Filed under: uncultured bacterium
Lineage: Bacteria
Description: partial 16S ribosomal RNA
Rfam family: Bacterial small subunit ribosomal RNA
Source: RNAcentral
UACGUAGGGACCGAGCGUUGUCCGGAUUCAUUGGGCGUAAAGAGCUCGUAGGCGGCUGUUCAAGUCGAACGUGAAAACUCGGAGCUCAACUCCGAGCCUGCGUUCGAUACUGGACGGCUAGAGUCUGGUAGGGGGAUCUGGAAUUCCUGGUGUAGCGGUGGAAUGCGCAGAUAUCAGGAGGAACACCGGUGGCGAAGGCGGCUCUCUGGGACGGUACUGACGCUGAGGCACGAAAGCGUGGGGAGCAAACAGG